Molecule: long non-coding RNA, 1964 nt
Organism: Pecten maximus
Lineage: Eukaryota; Metazoa; Mollusca; Bivalvia; Pectinida; Pectinidae
Exons: 4
Source: RefSeq, a predicted model, not a curated record
GUGAGUACGUGUUAUGAAUUAGCGUUAGUUUGUGUAUUGGUUCAUAAUAACAUAAGCGUAUGGAUGCAUGUCACUGGGAAAUUGUCUAAAACAUCGUAUAUCAUAAGGGUAAGGACCAUAGGCGAUAAUAAAUAAUACUCACAAAAGCCAGUCGAAUGUGUAAAGCAGAGUGACUGCCUCGGUCGGUAUAUUGAGAGCUGCCACAACAAUGAUUACCCCCAUCAGUGCAGAGGAGGGAACGGGAGGCAUUCCAGUAGAUGUUAUUGUUGUUAAAAGACUUCAAACGAAACGGAAAGAAGAUGCAUAGCCAAAAAUGCAUUCAUAUCCGAAACAUGAUGACGACAUACAGGAUAAGAGAUUGCCGACCAGGAAGAGAAUGAACCAUUAAUCAAAUCCGUUGAUGUCGUCACACACAAUCAAUGCUUACCAUAUGAGCAUGACCGUAGGUGCGUUAAGAGUGGUCCCUAGCAUCUGGCAGACAAAGAUGGACGACACGGCGAUGUAGAAGGCAGUGCCCGAUCGGCUUAGCGUCAUUACAAAUGGCAUAACAAAUCGUGAUACCCUCUUGUCUACAGCAUGUUCGGUCUCUAGAAUAGUCAUCACAGCAGGCAUAGUGAUCGGUCUGGAACAGAAAUAUCACAUAAAACAUUGAAUAAAAUGUCACAGAAAACGUCAUACGAAACGGCACGCAUACCAACCCAGAAAACACUGCAAAACGUUACGCUCAAUAAACCAUACCAGUCAUACAAAACGGCACACGAAAAGUCACACAAAAUAAUAUACAAAACACCACACUAAAAGUCACACAAAAUAAUACACAAAACAAAACACACAAUAUCACACAAAACAAUACACACAAUAUCACACAAAACAAUACACACAAUACCACACAAAACGUCACACAAAACAAUACACACAAUUCCACACAAAACAAUACACACAAUACCACACAAAACAAUACACACAAUACCACACAAAACAAUACACACAAUACCACACAAAACAAUAUACAGAAAGUCAUAAAAACAAAACAAAACGCCACACGAUAUUACACACUAGACGUCAAUCGAAACGUCACGCAAAAAGGUCGCACAAAACAUCACACACAACAAUACACAAAACAACGCAAACCUCAAACAAAACAUCUAAAAGAAAGAUACCAACACAUUGGGUGAUCACAUGAUAUAGAGUUGAUAGCCGGGAACAUGGAUGUUCUAUGAUAUCGCACAUGCCGAGCAGGCUACAGGCAAAGUUUGUUACAUUGUCUAGCACGAUCUACUGUACAUUUUUACAUAAACUUGGUUUUACUGAGCCUUAUACAUACAAAUAGCGUUUAUUAAUCUCAGACGGGUGUUUGCAAUAUUCUGAAGACGCGAUUUUUAAAUCCGUGAUCCCUAUCACGUACAUACGUCAUGAGCCCGUACAGCUCUUUAAGACACAUCAUAUGAAUGAGGUUUUGAAACUAAACCAUACACGAAUAUAUAUAUCCCUACAUUUAAAUAUAUAUUGAUAUACAUACUUUUCAUUAGAUAUACAGAAGUAUACUAUUAGAAAGAUACAUACGAAUUUGCUGUUGCAAAUGCCAUCAGGAUCGGCUGGGAAAGAGACAACAGAAAGGUAAACGGAUUUGCCCUCCGUAAAAGGAGGUAGCUGAUGGGUAUUAUCAGACCACAUACAGUCAUUCCUGUUGUAGCCGCUAAGAUGAACAUGCCUAACUUCUGGAAGUCUUCUGAUAUGUUGUCAGCAGCGCAUAUGGUCUUAGCGAUUAGACUUGCCACUCCAAUGGGCGUCAACCUAGGAAAAACAAACAUCAACGAAAGCUUUGAAGGGUUUACCGACGUCACGAAGGACGCCAGAAGCUAUCCCAAACAAAGUGCAUACCACCACCAAUCCUGAUAAAAUCGAAUAAAAAAUAUCUUAAAUUGACUGGAAUUAAUAGAUUGAAUAUUUAUUCAUUAACUACA